RNAcentral lists this ribosomal RNA (253 nucleotides) under uncultured bacterium. Its description in RNAcentral is "partial 16S ribosomal RNA". It matches the Rfam family "Bacterial small subunit ribosomal RNA", at positions 524 to 776 of the family's 1533-position model. The record is from RNAcentral.
UACAGAGGUCCCAAGCGUUGUUCGGAAUCACUGGGCGUAAAGGGUGCGUAGGCGGGUCUUUAAGUCAGGGGUGAAAUCCUGGAGCUCAACUCCAGAACUGCCUUUGAUACUGAAGGUCUUGAGUUCGGGAGAGGUGAGUGGAACUGCGAGUGUAGAGGUGAAAUUCGUAGAUAUUCGCAAGAACACCAGUGGCGAAGGCGGCUCACUGGCCCGAUACUGACGCUGAGGCACGAAAGCGUGGGGAGCAAACAGG